Molecule: long non-coding RNA, 2603 nt
Filed under: Equus caballus (horse)
Lineage: Eukaryota; Metazoa; Chordata; Mammalia; Perissodactyla; Equidae
Description: lncRNA (ENSECAG00000052085.1)
Source: RNAcentral
CUCUAGGGUGAGCCUGUCACCCUGUGUGGCUGAGGUGGUCAGCAGCCCGCCAUUAAAUCCGCUUAGCACUCUCAUCCACAGGCUGUAGCCUGCUUCCCGGGCACGCCAGACAUUCUCCACCUGAGGGCUUUGUUCUGGUCCUGGAUGCAUCUCAGCAGCAUGAGUGGGAAGCCACAGCGCUGGAGUUAAUGCCCCAGGAACAGACCUGACCCAGCGCUGGACAGGGGAUGGGGUCCUAGCUCCCGGAUGGGACGUCUCUGAGGGGGGCUAGUGCCAGAAAGAAGUUUAAAAUGUCGCUCUCUCUGCUUGUUGAAUUGGGACAAGCAUGGCCCUGGAGAUAAGCAAGAAAAAGGAAGGGAAGGGGUCACAGCCUCCGUCAGAAAAACUCAAAAUUCGCUUGUAAGGAGAAUUUGCUGACCUGGCCCAUGGUGGUUGUCCACUUCUUUGCAUCAUAACCUUCUGUGGCUUGAACCACACAGUCUGGCACAGGAUUCAAUUUUAGCUGGCACAGUCCUCUGUUUAGUGUAUGUGACUCUUGUUUCCUCAGGUGGCCUGAAAGCUCCUCAGUGCCUAACACAGUGUGAACACUACUGGCUUUUGCUUACAGCCAGGGAUGACAGUGUUCUCACUUUCAGGUAACCAUAGACCACUAUUCUCAAACUCUAACAAAGUAGGGGGAAAGGUAGAGGGCCCAACGUGCAUAACAACGAACGUACAACCUCAUUGUGAAUAAAAUGUUAUUUGUCUCAAAUAUUUCUAAGGACAUUUGUACUUAUCUUUCCCCAAGAGGUGUUUUCUUUGUUCUUGUUUCUUUGGCACACUCAUUUCUUUUCUUACAAAUUUUAUAGUGUUAUUUGUAAAUAGGCAUUUAGGAGCCGUAUCUUAGAUGUUCUUGGACAGCAUGUAAAAACCCAGUUUUUCAAGUACGUGUAAUGUUCACCACCCUAGUGUGCAGAUGCUGUUGGUUGGCUGUCCCAAUGGCGGUCUACAACGCCCAGUAGCCAGUCUCCCUUGUGGCUGGGGGUGGCCACAGAGCUUAGUUCUAGCCUCUGAGCGGUAAGCAGAAGUCUUCUAGGUGAGGCUGGUGAAAUAGCGUCAACUUUUCUAGAUAAAAAGGGACAGAUUGAGUUGUCAUGGCCCUUCACCUUGCCCUUCCUGUCUUAGCACAGGUGAUGUGGCUUUGUGUACCUCUGCGAGGAGCUGCUCCUCUGCAGGCUGCCGCUCCAGCAAGUGCUAAGCUCCCUGCAGCCGACACUGGAUUGCUUAGGUCCCGGUGGCUCCCUGCUCCGUGCCUCUGCCUGCCUAAGACUCUGUGUUAGCAUGUGACUGAUGGGAGCUCUGGCGAUGAGAACCUGCUGAGUUUUCCUUUUGGAUGGGUUUUUAUAUUAUUUUCCCAUAAGACGCAUGAGUUUUAUUUAUUAAUUUUUAAACAAUUUUUUAGCCAUUAUAGUAGCACCUGCUUAUAAAAAAUUUCAAACUGUGCGAAAAGUAUUCAGUGAAAGUCUUCUCUUCUUUCUAUAGAGGAAUCAUUGUUAGCAUUUCUUAUGUACUCUUCUAAAAACUUUCCAUUAUGCGUACAUAUAUUUAUUUACACAAAAAAGAUCAUACUAAGGCAUGUUCUGCAACUUGCUUUUUAAAAUUGUAUCUUUUUCAGCACAUGUACCUAUACCGUAUUCUUAAUUGGUGUAAAACACUACAUGGAUAAACCAUAAUCAUUAGAGGAAUGCAAAUUAAAGCCACAAUGUGAUACCACUGUACACCUAGUAGAAUGACUCAGAUAAAUAAAAAAACAUAACACUCUCAAGUGCUGACAAGGAUACAGAGCAACUGGACUCUCAUAAAUUGAUGGUGGGAAUGCAAAAUGUUGUAGCGAGUUUGGAAAAGAGUUUGACAGUCUCUUAUAAAGUUAAAUGCACACUUUAUAUACAACAAAGAAAUUCCAUGCCUAAAUAUUUACUCAAGUGAAAUGAAAACCUGAGUUCACACAAAAAUGUCUACAUGAAUGUUUAUAGCAGCUUUAUUCAUAAUUGCUCAUAACUUGAAACAACCCCAAAUCCACCUUCAGUUGGAUAAACCAACUGUGGCCCAUCCAUACAAUGGAACAGGCCCAGGGCUGGGUGUGACAAGGGAGAUACUUAGGGCACAGCCUUUAGGGGCACCAAACACUCAGUAAUCAAGAUAAAUCAUAUUAAUGCAAUAUUGAAAAAAAUCAAGCCAAUGCAAAAAACACAUGAUGAACAAAAUAUAAAAAUUUAAAACAAAAUCUUAUCCUGCACUUACAUGACCCUGGGAGGUAUGCAAGUUGGGGGUGCAGGUGUAGGGAGGUAAAAAAAUAUCUCAUUUAUAUUUCUUUUGACAGUCGUGGUCAUUGUCUCCACGUGAAGGAAGGUGACAAGUCCUUUCAAUUGUUUAUAACUGUAAUCCACAGCACUGCAGGGUAAAGGGGAAGCUUUAUUUUAUUAUAAAUACAUGUUUGUGUGAUUUAAAAAAUAUGAAGAGCACUUAGGUGAGCUGUACAAAUUUUAUUUAUUCAUGUAUUUUACUUUUCAGAAGUAAAACGAUCAAAUUCAAAUAUUUUAUGAAAAAAAUUUUUUUAACUGGGA